Mauremys reevesii (Reeves's turtle) is the source of this 3119-nucleotide RNA transcript. It is a transcript of the gene named Sad1 and UNC84 domain containing 1, with no coding region annotated. NCBI's taxonomy places the organism in Eukaryota, Metazoa, Chordata, Testudines, Geoemydidae. The transcript has 21 exons. The record is from RefSeq and is a predicted model, not a curated record.
GAUCCUGCUUUGUUGAGACUGGGAAGCCAUUUUGGGAUUCUGUGGUGUGGAACAGAAAAUAAUGUGCUGUCAACUUGCAAACUUGCCUUGAAUUAUUUUGACUGGGAUUGCUGGACCUUGGAACAGAAUGCUGAAGCAUAUACUCAUUCUAAAUACGUGAAACGGAUGACUCAGGAUUUUGGAUAUAUAGUAUGAUUUGAAACAAUCACCAUGGAUUUUUCACGUCUACACAUGUACACCCCACCCCAAUGUGUGCCAGAGAACACUGGCUAUACAUAUGCACUCAGUUCAAGUUAUUCUUCAACUGCUCUGGAUUUUGAGACUGAACACAAAUUGGAUCCAGUGUUUGAUUCUCCAAGAAUGUCAAGACGCAGUUUACGCUUGGUCACUGCAGGAUAUAAUGCAACAGAUGAUGCCCAAAAUGACAACAUUCAUAGCAAUUCCUAUAUUGGAAACAUGUCUUUGUCAGAUCAAUCAUCCAGAACAGCAAAGCAGCGCAAAAGUAUGAGCAAGCAGUCUGUCACUGUGAAAAAUACUCCAAGAAAAAAUGUAUCCAGCUCUUCUAUUUUUAGCCAAAGUAGUUUCAACAGCCAUGCCAGUGAUACAUCUGUAGUAUCUACUGUAUUGGAUGAAUCUUUGAUUCAGGAGCAAACAGAAGUUGACCAUUUUUGGGGGCUUGAUGAUGAUGAAUGCGAUCUUAAAGGUGGGGACACAACAGUGAUUCAGGGAAAUGGUGAUAUAGCAACAGCUGAAACACAGACUACCAUGAUCAAUGGCUAUACUUGCAGUGACUGCAGUAUGCUUUCUGAACGGAAAGAGGUCCUCACAGCGUACUCUGCUUCUCACAUGCCAUCUUCAAGAAUUUACUCUAGGGAUAGAAGCCAAAAAUAUAAAUCUAGAAACACCCCUUUCUACAUGAAUAAGAUUCUACGAUUGAUCAAAUAUACUGCAACAUCUUUUGCAUCACUGUUAGUGCAACUAUUUCAAAUGGUUUUGCUGAACCUGGGUUGUGAAUUUAAAGAAAUUCAGAUCUUAUCUAAUCAAGCUUUCCUGGAAGGUGCUACAGACAAACGGAGAACUGCUCACUCGAAUUACUGUGGAAGUAUGAAUGUAAAAGACUUUCUCAAAGAGGAUGGCCAUCUUGGUAUAAAUGGGGAAUCAUUGUGUGAUGACUGUAAGGGGAAGAAACAUCUUGAAACAUACACAACAGUCCACAUGCAAUCCUCAAGGUCUAAAAGGGUAGCAAGGACCAUUUGGCACACCUUUUCUUAUGCAGGUUACUUUGUGCUACAAAUGUUGCGAACAGUGGGAGCAACAGGAUGGUUUAUGUCUCAGAAGAUGUUAUCACUACUUUGGCUGGCCAUUGUUUCUCCAGGGAAGGCAGCUUCUGGGGUAUUCUGGUGGCUUGGAACUGGAUGGUAUCAACUUGUUACUCUGAUUUCUUUGUUCAAUGUGUUUCUUCUUACAAGAUGCCUUCCAAAGAUUUACAAGUUGUUACUGUUUCUCAUCCCACUGCUGUUUUUGCUAGGUAUAUGGUACUGGGGCUUUGAAGGCUUCCUUUCAUUACUGCCUGCAUUCAGUUGGACAAGCAUACGUCAAACACAAAGAAUAGAUGAGCCUGUGCAGAUUCUUAAACCGCAUCCUGAUUCUUCUCACUAUGUCCAGCCUCCAGAGGGUACCAUACAGUUAUUUGAUUCUAGUCGUAUGAGUGAACUGGAAAAGCAAAUGGCCCUCAUGUCUGACAGAUGUCAUCACAAUGAUGAAGAAUAUGGCAAAGUGAUGCUACAGCUUGAGAAGCUUCAGGAUCAGGUUUCCCAGAUGAAUGACAAAAGUGAGAUGUUGAUACUAAUAAAAAAUGUAAUGGGCCAACAUUUUAAGGAAAUGCAAUCUGAGGAAAUGGCACAUUCAACGACUGAUCUUCUGGCUUUACACCAAGAACAUGAAUUGCGCAUUUUGACACUGGAAGACCUUAUUGGAAAACUUUCUGCAAAAUCCAAGGACAUCCAGAAGGAACUUGAACUAACCCAAACAAGAACAGUGAGUGGAAGUGAUGAGCAAAACCAGCACCUUUUAUCCAAGGUUAAACAACUAGAACUAGAGUUGGCUCUCAUGAAGGCAGAACUGUUAACUCCACAAAGCUUGAAGACCUGCUAUGAGAAAGUAGAUACAAUUCAUGAAAAAGUAGAUGCCCAAGUCAAAGAAUCUGUCAAACUUAUGUUUUUUGGUGACCAACAAGAAGACUUUUCUGAAUCACUACUCCAAUGGCUAACAUCCAAAUUUGUGAGCAAGAGCGACCUGCAGGUUUUGUUAAGAGAUCUAGAGCUUCAAAUCCUCAAGAAUAUUACUCUCCACAUGUCAAUUACAAACCAAAAGCCAACCUCUGAAGUAGUAACAAGUGCAGUAAAUAAUGCAGUGAUUUCUGGCAUCACAGAAGCGAGUUCCCACCAGCACCCUGCAGACCACCAUAGAUACCUCGGAGGAGCCUGAGACCGAGACCUAGUCUGAACAAUGAGGAGGAGUCGGGAGACAUGGCAGGGUUGGGGUCCAGCUAUGCCAUGAGACAGGACCUGUUUGAGACUCCACUUCAGUCUGGCCAGUCCCAUCAGCCAAGCACCGAUGAACCUGGUGAAGGGAAAGGAACCUUGUCUGUUGCCAUUGUGGUCUCCACCACACCACUGGAACCCUGAGGAAAAGAAAGAGGGCUAGUGAGAUCCUGCAAGCCACUGAUGAAUCAGACUGCAAACAAAAGGCCUGUGUGGCCAACAUGGCAGACGGCAUGGAGAUGGACAGAGAGGACAGGAGAAAAUGGAGAAAGAUCCAGGAAUCCCCACAGGAGAAGGAGAGAGCUUCUCAGGCAGCGCAAACAAAUGCUGCAGACUCUGGUUGACCUACAAGUCCAGUAAUCACCAACUCCUCACCCUUUGCAGUCCCUGGAGAACUCCAUGGUGGCAGCUUCCCGUGUGCCCCAACAUUCCACCUGGCAUCCUGGGCCCUAUCCCUAUCGCUCCAUGCUGGUGGAUAGUAAGGAAAACUACGGCUUCACAUACACUGUCCUGAGAGCCACAGUUGCUUUAUGCGUAGCCAGAAUAGACUGCACCUGUGCACUGAAAUGGACAGAA